This 31-nucleotide non-coding RNA is filed under the name Mus musculus (house mouse). Lineage: Eukaryota; Metazoa; Chordata; Mammalia; Rodentia; Muridae. The record is from RNAcentral.
UGAAUUCCAGAAAAACACAAAUGACUUGUGA